This 498-nucleotide ribosomal RNA is filed under the name uncultured Ruminococcus sp. RNAcentral describes it as "partial 16S ribosomal RNA". The record is from RNAcentral. Lineage: Bacteria; Bacillati; Bacillota; Clostridia; Eubacteriales; Oscillospiraceae.
CACGUAGUUAGCCGGAGCCUUUUCUUCAGGUACCGUCAUUAUCGUCCCUGAUAAAAGGAGUUUACAAUCCGAAAACCUUCUUCCUCCACGCGGCAUCGCUGCAUCAGGGUUUCCCCCAUUGUGCAAUAUUCCCCACUGCUGCCUCCCGUAGGAGUCUGGGCCGUGUCUCAGUCCCAAUGUGGCCGUUCAACCUCUCAGUCCGGCUACUGAUCGUCGACUUGGUGAGCCGUUACCUCACCAACUAUCUAAUCAGACGCGAGCCCAUCUCUGAGCGAAUUUCUUUGAUAACAAAUCAUGCGAUUUCACUAUGUUAUGAGGUAUUACCAUCCGUUUCCAGAAGCUAUCCCUCUCUCAGAGGCAGGUUGCUCACGUGUUACUCACCCGUCGCCACUAACUUGAGGAAGCAAGCUUCCUCUCGUCCGUUCGACUUGCAUUGUGUUAGGCGUUGCCCGUCAGCCGUUCGUCCUGUACGCCAGGAUCCGAAAACUCUCGUUGACG